This 2297-nucleotide long non-coding RNA is filed under the name Daphnia magna. Its description in RNAcentral is "uncharacterized LOC116920055". Lineage: Eukaryota; Metazoa; Arthropoda; Branchiopoda; Diplostraca; Daphniidae. The record is from RNAcentral.
AAAGCGUGCGGUGGCAAUAGUCUAUCAAGUCGACGAUUGAGUCGCCCAGGGCUUCACAGGCUGCUGAAUGGUACAGCAAUAGCUCCAGCAAGCUAAUGACUGCUCCUUCGUGGUACAGCUGCCAAAACAAUAAGGAAAUCCGGCAUAUUAUUUACGUCAUCCGUCAGGGGGCGGAGUCCUAAAGAAAUAGUUGGAGGAAAAAAAACCUCCCAUUUCGUCAUGUCUGACGGAGAAGAAUUUGUUUAGACUGCGUUGACGUAGCGAUUGCUGAUGUUUUGUCUGGUUUUUGUCUCAACAGCGAGGCAAGAAGGGUGAGGUAUAUAUAAUAACAUUGUCAACAAACUACGGAGCAGACGAUUUAAUGAGGCAAAUUUCAGCUAUCGAUCCGAUAGGUUUGAGCGCCAUUAAAAUCAAUUUCACGGUGACUUGAAAUAAAGUUUAAAAUACUUUUUUUUUCCCCCAAUGAUAUCUUUUAAAAUGUGUUGCACGUACUUUCUCUGCUACCAUUAAUUUGGCGUAGACAGUUUCUUCACAAAGCUGGGCUGUCUGCGAGACGGCCUUGAGCGAUAACUGGACCACUGCUUGAUGAUGCAACAGCCACCUAAUGAAUAAAAGUGGGGCAAUGAACGAUACGAGUUCUCAUUAUAAUUCUGCACAUGCUUGACAGAUAUCAGAAACAAUAGUCCUUUUUUUUCUUACCUGUCAGAUGCCAAUUCGUCCAGUUGACAGAGUCGAGUCUGUUCUAUCAGAUGAUCUUCUUCGUAAUCCAUAAUAAUUUAAUGAGGAGCUGAAUUUAUAAUGCCAAUUGCAAAAGCAAAUGCCAAAAAGAGACACAACAAAUGCGGAAUAGAUAAAUUCUAGACUUGUUGUGUCCUAUCUACUACAUUCCGCAGACGACGCUGAAAGACUAAACGAAUGUUAACGGUUAAUAACGGGAGCAUGGAUCUAAUAAAAGUUGAGCAUCGAUUCAACAAACUUGUGCUGUCUUUAUUUUCAUAAAAAUAAAAAAUAAAUGGGGAAAAACGUUACGUGAGAGCCAUGGCAACGGCCAGAAAGAAAAACGAUCGAUGAAAAAAGGCUGGGCACUUUGUAAUCAAGGGAUCAAAAAACCUUCCAUGGAAAACGCACACAACGUUCCGACGUGGCUGUACGUGUUUAAAUAAUGUGUCUGACUUGCAUCCGGUGUUUAUUAUCACAUGAACCAUUACAGUACACAUAUGUAUAUAUUAUAUAUCUAUAAAUGUAUGUACGCACACACUUUAUUCAUCAUCAUUUUUUUGUUUUUUCGUGUCAAAAACAAAAAAAUUAUAAAUCGUUUUGAAUUUUGCUGGAUUUCGCCAUUGAAACAAAAAGACAAUUUUUUAAGUUUUUUUUUUUUUAAUUGAACAUUUGUAUUUUUUUUUUGUUUUGUUUUUGUUGUUGUCGUUUUGUUGUUGUUGUUUUUCAUGUACAAAGAAGAUAAAAGGAGAGUGAAAUGAUAGAGAAAGAAAAAUAAUAAAAAGAAAAUUUGAUAUAGGCUGCUGGUCUAAACACACACAGGCACACACAAUUAAACAUUACUUUUGUCAUUAAUGUUGUGGUUGUUUAGAAGUGAUAUGAAAAAAAAAAUUAUUUUUGUUUGUUUUGUUUUUGUUUUUUAAAAUUUUUCUUGUGUGGGGGGAGGGUAGAGGGGGUUUGAGGUUUCUUGUUUUUGGAAAAGGAGGAUAAAUAUAUAUUUUGUAGUUAAAAGAUUCAGACGGGCCAGGGUACGAUGGAAAUUAUAAGUAAUAAAAUCACAUUUCACGAGUGCGGAUUGUAUUAUUAUUCUCGAAAUUUCUUUAGUUUUUUUGUUUUAUUUUUUAUUUUUAAAUUCGAAUUUUGUUUUUAACUUUAUUGUUUUUCGGUGAGCGCAAUAAGAAUUUUCGUAGUAGCAGAAGACAAAAGAAAACAAGUAGAGUGAAAAAAAUAAGAGAUUACCAUGAAAACAAAUGGUAGGUGUAGGUGUAGGAGGAGGCAUGGCGGGUCCAAUUUGAAGAGGUGGGCGGGGUUGUUUUAUUUAUAUAGGAAAUGUUUUGCUUUUGAAAACACGGUGUGUGUGUGUGUAUACAUUUUCCGAAUUUUUUUUUUUCUCUCAACAACAACGGGACAAAAAAUGAAAUCGACAUAAAUUUAAAAAUGGGGAGGAAGGACAGCAGAGAGAUGGGGGGUAAGGGGAGUCAAUAUUUAUCACAACAAAUGAUCCAGUAAUUUUUUUUUUUAGCGCAACAGCAGCAGCUCUCUGGAUGGUCUCAUCGAAUUUAAAACAUGGGAUUUAAUUU